RNAcentral lists this non-coding RNA (83 nucleotides) under unclassified sequences. Its description in RNAcentral is "c-di-GMP sequence". It matches the Rfam family "c-di-GMP-II-GAG riboswitch aptamer". The record is from Rfam by way of RNAcentral.
CGACGGCGCGAGGUUCUGACACGCGGCCUUACCGCGGCCGCCGGGGCCGCGUCGAGCCACUGGCGAGACCGACGUUGUCGUGA